GGCUAUUCUUGACUUGAUCAUGGUAAUACUCUGUGUUUACAAAAGUGAUUUUAAAUCCAAGUUUGGCUAAGCACAGAGAUAGCUCCAUUAGAGGAAUUACAUGGCCUUGAGUUGGAUAAGGAACAACCAAAAUAUGUGGAUUUCCCAUUUUAUUUCUCCCUUUUGCUUUGCAGGUUCUACUUUAAAGAUUUGUAUCACUCUUACGCAGGCAGCCUAGGGGAGAAGGCGACGAGAAUUAGAACAUUAUUAUUCUUCCUACCUUUACUUCAAUGGAAUCUCAAACUAGCUAAGUUGGGCCUAAACUCGGGCCAAACAGGUUGCGUGCACAACCUGCCGGCAGAUAAGUUGGGUCGAUGGGUCGAGAUCCAGUGCGAUACUGAACGGGGAUAGACAUACCUCAAGUGCUGGCAGGACCACCAGACUCCCUUGCUGGGAACUUGAAAACCUGAACCUCGUAUGCAGUGCCGCGGCUGCUUGUGCCAGACAAAUUGAGCUGGAACUACCCGUUUGUUUUUCUUUUUGGUUGGUUUUUCAAUUGCAGAUCCAGCACCGGCUUAUAUGAAAUCUAAAAGCCCAGAAGCUUUUGCAUAUCUUUCUGCCAUCUCAACCCCAUUGUAAGCUAUACCAUUAUGUGAUAUUAGCAAGGGUAAGCAAAACAAAACCAUAUUCACCAUGUCAUAUAUGCAGUCUUUGAUCCUCACUCUCCAAUGACCCAGUCUUAUUUCUAUGUUAAGUAAAUCUUAAUCCUUGUCAAUACAAAACACUUGUGCUGAUUUCUCAAUAAA
Molecule: long non-coding RNA, 785 nt
Organism: Tripterygium wilfordii
Lineage: Eukaryota; Viridiplantae; Streptophyta; Magnoliopsida; Celastrales; Celastraceae
Exons: 2
Source: RefSeq, a predicted model, not a curated record